Molecule: non-coding RNA, 36 nt
Submitted as: unclassified sequences
Source: Rfam
AAGGCGGAACCCGAAAAACCUAUAACAGAGUAGGAA